This 85-nucleotide transfer RNA is filed under the name Candidatus Dormiibacterota bacterium. RNAcentral's name for it is "tRNA-Leu". Lineage: Bacteria; Bacillati; Candidatus Dormiibacterota. The record is from RNAcentral.
CGGGGCUGAACUGGGCCCGGCCGCCCUCUGCGCCUCACGGUUCGGGACCGUGAGGCCCCGGGUUCAAAUCCCGGGCCCCCGACCA